RNAcentral lists this ribosomal RNA (331 nucleotides) under uncultured bacterium. Its description in RNAcentral is "bacterial SSU rRNA". It matches the Rfam family "Bacterial small subunit ribosomal RNA", at positions 568 to 897 of the family's 1533-position model. The record is from RNAcentral.
UGCGUAGGCGGUCCGCUAAGUUGGAUGUGAAAACUCUGGGCUUAACCCAGAGCCUGCAUUCAAAACUGACGGGCUAGAGUUCUGGAGGGGGUAGUGGAAUUCCUGGUGUAGCGGUGAAAUGCGUAGAUAUCAGGAGGAACACCGGUGGCGAAGGCGGCUACCUGGACAGAAACUGACGCUGAGGCACGAAAGCUAGGGGAGCAAACAGGAUUAGAUACCCUGGUAGUCCUAGCCCUAAACGAUGGAUACUUGGUGUGACCGGGAUUGAAUCCGGUCGUGCCGAAGCUAACGCAUUAAGUAUCCCGCCUGGGGAGUACGGUCGCAAGGCUGA